Molecule: long non-coding RNA, 1495 nt
Filed under: Callithrix jacchus (white-tufted-ear marmoset)
Lineage: Eukaryota; Metazoa; Chordata; Mammalia; Primates; Cebidae
Description: lncRNA (ENSCJAG00000080674.1)
Source: RNAcentral
GGAGAAUUUGCUAAUUUAACUACUGUUUCAUGCAAGUGUACACACUGAAAGAAUGGUGGAAUUCAGUGAGUGAACUCAGUUCUGAUUGACUUUUUAUCUUGAUGCUGCCCUAAGAUGCUGGCAAGAGUAACCCUACCGCUUGCUCCAUGCUUACCACAUACAAAAGGGCCUUGCAAAUCAGAAACACACAACACAGAUUUGGGAACACACGGACACGUCUGCUUCUUGGAACUUAGCAGGGGCACAGAAGGACUUGUAUCCUUAAACAUCCACUGUGUGGCUAAUAUUGUUCGAGCUCCAGGGAGCCAUGUCUUCACAUCUCUUCCUAUUUCCGCAGAAUAAAAGACAACUGUGUUGGAAGAUUGCCAAAGUUUGUAGCUGUGCCACUGCAGACUUCAGAGAUGAACGCUGCCUUGGAGACAGGGAGGAUUCAAGUUGCAGAAGCACUUAGAUAGGCUCUUGCUUUGUUGCCCAGGCUGCAAUGCAGUGUUGCAAUAAUAGCUAAUGCAGCCUUGAUCUUCCAGGCUCAAGUGAUCCUCCUGCUUCAGCCUCCUGAGUAGCUGGGCCUACAGGUAUGUGCAACCAUGUCUAGCUAAUUUUAAAAGAAAAUUUUGUAGAGAUGGGUUCUCUCUAUGUUGCCCAGGCUGGUCUUGAACUCCUGAGCGCCACCUAUUCUACCACCUUGAUCUCCCAAAGUGCUGGGAUUACAGGUGUGAGCUACCACAUCCAACCAAAAACACAUUUAUUUUUCUCCUUUUCAGCUGACCUCCCUAGUUUUCAAGUCAUUGGAACUUGGAGGCCCACGUUGUUUCACAUGCAUGUUUCAGAGCCGGAGACCAUCGUGAACAUCAGUAUCAGUUGGAAUUGGAAGAUUUCGGGAAACUCUGGACUGACAAUGUGGCUGCAACAGCUUUCACAUUGCUCUUCUGGAAGAUUCCAGAGAAAGUUGGCCAAAUCCAGAGAAAACAAUUACACAGAGUGAAAACUGAACUGGGUAAGGAGUGGGGAACAAUAAAGUGUUGAAACUGGACUUGAGUGGCGGAGGCUCCAGGAAGGCUUUUGCUGGUUUGGUUCUGCCACCAUCCUUACUGUCUGCAGGGAUGUUGUGCUGGGUAUUAUUACCUUUGCUGGGCUGGCCAUAACUGAAGGUGCAGGCAGCUUUCUCCUGUCUACUGACCAUUCAUCCCAAGGGCUUACCUUCGCACGGUGAUGACUGCAUCACUUCCUGCUCUGUAAGCUUUCUGGUUCAGCAUCUUUAGACCUUCACCACUCUGCUUGCUCAUUUGUUCAAUUUGUUUACUCAUUUAUUUAUGUAUUUAACAAACGUGCUGAUUUCCUAUCAUAUGCCAGAUCAAUCUGACCACUCGGGGACAUUUCUUGCCAUGACUAGUUCUGAGGUUCUUUUAUUUAUUUAAUAAAUAUUAAAGCAAUUUCAGUAGCCAUACAGCAAGUACUACCGUGGUGCUAGCUUCCAUGGAAGCCUUGGGUUCUCCAC